UAGCCAGUCUUUUUUUUUUUUGCGCCAUGGCCAGUCUCGUGCCCUCAAAUCCCCUCCCCCUGAUUUUCAGAAUUUCCGAAUUUAAUGCGCAGCGGCUCGGCGGCGACUGAGAGGAUUCGAUUCGGCAUCGGCGCCGGCGCCGGCGGGGCGAUGGGGGCCAGAGGGAUCGAUGAUUUCCCUGUGGAUCCGAUACGCAUCUGUAUUCUGUGGUGGCCGCGCGAGCUCAUCCAUGGUCCUUGACUCCCCCCGGCGGUGCGCCGUGUCUUUUUUCGUCGUGUGUGCAGGUUGCUGAUCUUCCAGGAGGCGCCGCGCGGGAGCGCGGUUGGGAGCAGGGGAGGAGAUGUGCUGCGGGAUUCAUCUGUGGCUCCGCACAACAACUGCGUGGAGUACGACGGCGAUGGGAGCAUGGAGAAUGGCCCAGCGGAGUCGGGGGAGUCGGCCGUCAAGCCGGCUCCACGGUCGCCGGACUGGAUGAAGAGUUCGUGCGGGCACUAUUCCUACAUAAAGAACACCCUGCCUGGGAAGGAUGGGGGCCCUCAAAAAAUCUAAAGGGGCUUUGCGGAGCGAGACAGAGAAGAGGUUGUCAAGCCAUAGUUAGGCACCACAUUUGACACGUUGACGGAAACGUACGACUUCUACAAUCUAUACUCAUGGGAACUUGGUUUCGGUAUAACGUAUGGCAAAAGCCGACUGAAUCCAGGCAAGCAGAAGACAAAUGCAAGAGAUAGUCUGUGGUUGCUCGGUAAGGAUGCAGAACUGAAAUGAAUUUAGACAAGAAAUACAGGUGAUAAAGAGCACACUGUCAGAUACAGUCCACCGGUGAUUUAAGUGGCACAUCUUGAAGGCUAAAGAAAGUUUGGGGGUUCUGCACGGGAAUAGAAAAUGAAUUUAGACAGGAGUUUCAUAAAGUCAUAAACCAUAUGCUCACAGUGGACGAGAUCGAUCGAGGAAGCGUGGUCUCAGCUACUGGAGAAGUACGACCUGAAGGCACACUCGUACAUGACGCAGAUUUUUGAGAUAAGAGAGAAGUGGGCGAAGUCAUAUUUCAAGGGAAUUUUCUGUGUGAAGAUGACAAGUACCUAGAGGAGUGAGAGUGUGAACCAUAUGCUGAAGAACUAUGUGCCCUCCGGCUCUCCAAUGCAUAAGUUUGUUAGGCAGUACAUGCUGUUGCAGUUUGAUCGUCAAUCAGAUGAGAGUUAUGAAGAGAAGAAAACUAAAAUCGUAAGUGCAGCUUCAUUGAGAAAGAAACGGUAGAGACAUGAGAAGUGGAGCUAGGUGGUUUUCCUAGUAAAAAUGACCGGUAAUGGUUCAGAGUUUGGGUGAGAAUGCGGGCUUUUUGAGCACAUAGGUGUCUUGUCAUAUACUUCAGGUGAUGGAUUCCUUGGCAUGACAAAGGUGUCGGAUAAGCACAUUGUGAGAAGGUGGACCAACGAUGGUCGAGACAUACUGCCAGAGCACUUGCAUCACUACCAGUGCGAUCAGCUUGGUGCCACGCCUCUGACAUGUAUGUGCAGGCAUUAGAGUUGAUCCGGUUGGGAGACGCCAGUGUGGAAGCUUAACACUGAUGGGACUCUUCAAUAAAGCUAUGAAGGCGAUGGCUCCUUUCGACCAGGCGAGGAAUGGGCUGGGACAGGAGGAUCGUGUCAGUGGCAAGAAGCAAGGCAAUGUCGAUGAAAAAGAAACCAAGGCUGGCGAGGAUGAGUAUGUUGUGCUGCCGGGGCAUAGCAAUCCUUUGGUUGGCCUGGGAGCGCCGUCGAAGAAGAAAAGUGCAGGGAGGCCGACAAACGCAAGAGGCCAGGCACCUUACGAAGGAAUGAGUAAGAGUAGAUUCUGUUGCAUCUGCAAAAUUCAAGGCCACAAACGAACAACUUGCCCACAUAGAGGAGACGUUCCCAAAGUUCAGAGGAAAGAAGCAAAACUGCAGCAAGUGUGGUGUCACUGGCCAUCAGAAGAACACCAUGCGACAGGCCAGCGGGAAAAGUUGUUCAGGGUGUACUGUUGUACUAGCAUAUUAGGACCAAAAGUGGUUGUAGAAUGCACAUGUCGUGCGUGUGAUGUGAACGUUAAUGAACUAUUAUCAUGGUGAUAAGAUAACUAAAUCUGUUA
Molecule: non-coding RNA, 2106 nt
Organism: Triticum urartu
Lineage: Eukaryota; Viridiplantae; Streptophyta; Magnoliopsida; Poales; Poaceae
Source: RefSeq, a predicted model, not a curated record